RNAcentral lists this unclassified non-coding RNA (213 nucleotides) under Basidiomycota sp. RNAcentral's name for it is "partial contains small subunit ribosomal RNA, internal transcribed spacer 1, and 5.8S ribosomal RNA". The stretch from base 1 to 47 matches the Rfam family "Eukaryotic small subunit ribosomal RNA", at positions 1785 to 1831 of the family's 1831-position model. Lineage: Eukaryota; Fungi; Basidiomycota. The record is from RNAcentral.
AAAGUCGUAACAAGGUUUCCGUAGGUGAACCUGCGGAAGGAUCAUUACAGAAUUGUGCCUAGCACCUUUCAACGUAUGUGAACUGUGAACUGAACUUGGCGGGAAGUGUUGGGUCGCAAGACCUGACGGCCCGCCGAUAUUAACAACCUUUAACAAAAGUACUGAACUUGUAUUAAACAAAGACAACUUUUAGCAACGGAUCUCUAGGCUCUC